This is a long non-coding RNA of Vespa crabro (European hornet), 206 nucleotides long. RefSeq lists it as uncharacterized. The transcript has 2 exons. NCBI's taxonomy places the organism in Eukaryota, Metazoa, Arthropoda, Insecta, Hymenoptera, Vespidae. The record is from RefSeq and is a predicted model, not a curated record.
AAGUUCUUCUCUCGGAGGAAAAACGUAAAGCCUCGUUGACUUUGUACAAGCCAAAAAUCAUAGAAUGAAUUGGAAUAAUGAGACCUUCUUCGUAAAAAUCUAAUACUUCUUCUCCGGCUUGCCUAUAUAAUUGCACUAGUCGCGAUAGAGAAUAAGCGUAGCUUUGUAUCUACGAUAUAAAACGAAUAAAAUGUACUGCUACGCGA